AGUGAACGCUGGCGGUAGGCCUAACACAUGCAAGUCGAACGGCAGCACAGUAAGAGCUUGCUCUUACGGGUGGCGAGUGGCGGGCGGGUGAGGAAUACAUCGGAAUCUACUUUUUCGUGGGGGAUAACGUAUGGAAACUUACGCUAAUACCGCAUACGACCUACGGGUGAAAGCAGGGGAUCUUCGGACCUUGCGCGAUUGAAUGAGCCGAUGUCGGAUUAGCUAGUUGGCGGGGUAAAGGCCCACCAAGGCGACGAUCCGUAGCUGGUCUGAGAGGAUGAUCAGCCACACUGGAACUGAGACACGGUCCAGACUCCUACGGGAGGCAGCAGUGGGGAAUAUUGGACAAUGGGCGCAAGCCUGAUCCAGCCAUACCGCGUGGGUGAAGAAGGCCUUCGGGUUGUAAAGCCCUUUUGUUGGGAAAGAAAAGCAGCAGGUUAAUACCCCGCUGUUCUGACGGUACCCAAAGAAUAAGCACCGGCUAACUUCGUG
This 492-nucleotide ribosomal RNA is filed under the name uncultured bacterium. RNAcentral's name for it is "partial 16S ribosomal RNA". It matches the Rfam family "Bacterial small subunit ribosomal RNA", at positions 29 to 507 of the family's 1533-position model. The record is from RNAcentral.